UCCGGCUUGUCGCCGGCGGUCCCUCUAGAGUGCCCAACUUAAUGAUGGCAACUAAAGGCGAGGGUUGCGCUCGUUGCGGGACUUAACCCAACAUCUCACGAUACGAGCUGACGACAGCCAUGCAGCACCUGUCUCUACGUCCCUUGCGGGAAAACUCCUAUUAGGGAGCGGUCGUAGGAUGUCAAACCCUGGUAAGGUUCUGCGCGUUGUAUCGAAUUAAACCACACGCUCCGCUGCUUGUGCGGGCCCCCGUCAAUUCCUUUGAGUUUUAGCCUUGCGGCCGUACUCCCCAGGCGGAUAACUUAAUGCGUUAGCUGCGCCACCAAAAGCCCAUGGCUCCUGACAGCUAGUUAUCAUCGUUUACGGCGUGGACUAC
This 376-nucleotide unclassified non-coding RNA is filed under the name uncultured Alphaproteobacteria bacterium. RNAcentral's name for it is "contains 16S-23S intergenic spacer region". Lineage: Bacteria; Pseudomonadati; Pseudomonadota; Alphaproteobacteria. The record is from RNAcentral.